UACAGAGGGUGCGAGCGUUGUUCGGAAUGAUUGGGCGUAAAGCGCUUGUAGGCGGCACGUCAAGUCGCGUGUGAAAUCCCCAGGCUUAACCUGGGAAGUGCGCGCGAAACUGACGAGCUUGAGUGCCGGAGAGGGUCGCGGAAUUCCCGGUGUAGAGGUGAAAUUCGUAGAUAUCGGGAGGAACACCAGUGGCGAAGGCGGCGACCUGGACGGACACUGACGUUGAUGCACGAAGGCCAGGGGAGCAAACGGG
RNAcentral lists this ribosomal RNA (253 nucleotides) under uncultured bacterium. Its description in RNAcentral is "partial 16S ribosomal RNA". It matches the Rfam family "Bacterial small subunit ribosomal RNA", at positions 524 to 776 of the family's 1533-position model. The record is from RNAcentral.